Molecule: long non-coding RNA, 2299 nt
Organism: Pan troglodytes (chimpanzee)
Lineage: Eukaryota; Metazoa; Chordata; Mammalia; Primates; Hominidae
Exons: 3
Source: RefSeq, a predicted model, not a curated record
ACCCUCGUACGCGGAAGUUCAUGAGGGAGGGACCCUCGUACGCGGAAGUUCAUGAGGGCGGGACCCUCGUACGCGGAAGGUCAUGAGGGCGGGACCCUCGUACGCGGAAGUUCAUGCGGGCGGGACCCUCGUACGUGGAAGGUCAUGAGGGCGGAACCCUGGUAUAUGAAAUUCGUUCUCUUAUUAAAGAGACAAAGAACGCCCUUGUUUUUUCCACCACGUGAUGGCGCAGACAGAAGACAACCAGCAUCUAUGAACCAGGAAGCCCCCACCAGGCACUGAAUGUGACCCUGCGUGGAUCUUAGACUUGCAGACUCCAGAACUGUCCAAAUUUUGGUCUGGAGCCAGAGACAAUAUAGGAUGAAGUCUGAUUUGUUCCAAAACCCACAGAAAUCUCUAAAAUGGAAGAAUUUUCUUAGAACCAAAAGGCAUGGAAUUGAUGACAUGAAACUGAUCCCUAGAUCACCUUAAGCGUGAGUUAACCUGAUGGGAUGCAUCAAAUUACACAAGCUGUUGGACAACGCAAGGAGCGGCGCAGGAAUACGCUGCGGGCUCUGCCCUCCACACGGAGAGGACGGGGUCUUCCCCUUCUAGGGUGAGCGGCCCAGAACAGAUGAGAUGAGCUGCGAGAGGCCAGGGCCUUUGGGGAGACCAAUUUGGGAGGUAGCCAUUUAGAGUGGGUCUCCGUCACAACUCCAAAUCUGUGCAGUUAUUCAGACAAGCCAAUCAGCACUGGAUAUUCGAUAGGCAAACUCAAUAAUCAUUUAUAAUCCUGACAGGUGAAGGGGCUCCAAGGCAAACCUUAAUAUACACUGUAGGUUUGAAAAUAAGAGAAAACAAAUAAAGAAAUCUCUAUAUUCCUGAGAAAAUGUCUUUUCUUUCUCUAGUCCUACAAUCUUCUAGUCAGGGUUUUUUUCUUCUUUUUUUAUCAUUCCCGUCCUCACAGGAGACACAAAACCAUUUUAAAUCUAUUUUUCUAAGUAGAUCACUGCCCAGCCCUCAUCCAAGUUCUUGUCUGUAACUCAUGUGGAUGUUUAGAAGUUAUUAUUCAAUAAAGGCAAAGGGAAAGGGAAAGUAGUUUCUACUUUAGAACUAUUUAGACUAUGUCAGUAAAUUCAAUUUUGAGAACUAAACUAGAAGUUUCAGUAUUUAUCAUAUCUGUCCUAUAAAGUAACUUGAAAUUAUUGGAAGAAAGAUUAUCCAGCAGCCCAGUCUUCUUGGUGAAAUAGAACUUUGCUUACUGCAUCGCUCAUGGUACAUAUGCAAUUCAUCUGUAGAAGAAAUUCAGGAAAAGGACAUAUUUCCAGUUGAAACUGGAAUUAAAAUUAAUUGCAACAGCAGAAGUAUUCUCUAUGUCUCCCUUCCUCUUUCUUUUCUCUCUCUUUCCCUUUUUUCUCUCUCAUUAUAAUUCUAGUUUUACUUAAGAGAGUCAGUAAUAAUAGAUCUUAGCUUUCAUAAAGUGGGUACUGUAUUAUACACAUAACAUUCUUAAUUACCAGUGGUUAUUCAUCGUAUCCCUAUGUGCUAGGUACAUUGGGAGACAGUAAAACGAUAAAAUUUGGUCUGUAUUUUAAAGCAGCAUUUAUUUCUAUUAGGUUCACACAUGUAUGAGACAAUAAUGAAAUAAUACAAAAAAUUAGGGAUUAUGUUUUAUAAAGGAAUAGCCCAAAAUGAAUUCAUAGAAAAGGAGCAUUUAUGUAUUCAGUCAACAAAUAUUGAUUGAUCACUUACUGUAUACCAGACUCUCCACCAUGUGCCAGAGAUAGACCUGAGAAAGCGCUCGUGUCCUCCAGGAACUUCACUCACCUGGAAGAGACAAGCUGUAUCGUGAGCUGGGCAACAUAGUGUUCAUUGUAACUUUUCUUUUUCAAAUAAAUUUCUUUGAAGAAGGAUUCUUGUCAAGAUGAAAUCAAGAGAGACAUGACUUUUGGCAGCACCGUCCUGUGGGACAUGUGGCAAACAAAUGACAUGAGCUAAUGGGACAAGAAGGCAACUUCAGCUAGAGAGAUGGAAAAAGGUCAGGUGUCCUCCAAAUGACCUCUCUUCAUGACCACCUCACUCAACAUCCAGACACCAAAUCUUCAGGAGAGUGACUGAGCACACUACAUGCCGAAGAGCAGGAGGCUGGAGGAGGCUGGACAUCACUGUCUUUUAUUAUCACAAACAGAACAGUAACACUCUGCAGAGCUACGGAAACUUGGUAGAAAAAAUAAUGGAUGAGUCAUGUGGUGGGAAUGUUCAGAAAUGUGGAGAAGGCUUUGGCUGCCCCUGCAAGGAAUUAAAGCUUUACUUAAGAUUA